GAUUAAGUUAUUAAGGGCGCACGGUGGAUGCCUUGGCACUAGAAGCCGAUGAAGGACGUUACUAACGACGAUAUGCUUUGGGUAGCUGUAAGUAAGCGUCGAUCCAGAGAUUUCCGAAUGGGGGAACCCAGCAUGAGUUAUGUCAUGUUAUCGACAUGUGAAUUCAUAGCAUGUCAGAAGGCAGACCCGGAGAACUGAAACAUCUUAGUACCCGGAGGAAGAGAAAGAAAAAUCGAUUCCCUGAGUAGCGGCGAGCGAAACGGGAAGAGCCCAAACCAACAAGCUUGCUUGUUGGGGUUGUAGGACACUCUAUACGGAGUUACAAAAGAACAUGUUAGACGAAUCAUCUGGAAAGAUGAAUCAAAGAAGGUAAUAAUCCUGUAGUCGAAAACAUAUCUCUCUUGAGUAUCCUGAGUACGACGGAGCACGUGAAAUUCCGUCGGAAUCUGGGAGGACCAUCUCCUAAGGCUAAAUACUCUCUAGUGACCGAUAGUGAACCAGUACCGUGAGGGAAGGUGAAAAGUACCCCGGAAGGGGAGUGAAAGAGAACUUGAAACCGUGUGCUUACAAGUAGUCAGAGCCCGUUAAUGGGUGAUGGCGUGCCUUUGUAGAAUGAACCGGCGAGUUACGAUCUGAUGCAAGGUUAAGCAGCAAAUGUGGAGCCGCAGCGAAAGCGAGUCUGAAUAGGGCGUUGAGUAUUUGGUCGUAGACCCGAAACCAGGCGAUCUACCCUUGGUCAGGUUGAAGUUCAGGUAACACUGAAUGGAGGACCGAACCGACUUACGUUGAAAAGUGAGCGGAUGAACUGAGGGUAGCGGAGAAAUUCCAAUCGAACUUGGAGAUAGCUGGUUCUCUCCGAAAUAGCUUUAGGGCUAGCCUCAAGUGAUGAUUAUUGGAGGUAGAGCACUGUUGGACGGGGCCCCUCUCGGGUUACCGAAUUCAGACAAACUCCGAAUGCCAAUUAAUUUAACUUGGGAGUCAGAACAUGGGUGAUAAGGUCCGUGUUCGAAAGGGAAACAGCCCAGACCACCAGCUAAGGUCCCAAAAUAUAUGUUAAGUGGAAAAGGAUGUGGCGUUGCCCAGACAACUAGGAUGUUGGCUUAGAAGCAGCCAUCAUUUAAAGAGUGCGUAAUAGCUCACUAGUCGAGUGACACUGCGCCGAAAAUGUACCGGGGCUAAACAUAUUACCGAAGCUGUGGAUUGUCCUUUGGACAAUGGUAGAGAGCGUUCUAAGGGCGUCGAAGCAUGAUCGCAAGGACAUGUGGAGCGCUUAGAAGUGAGAAUGCCGGUGUGAGUAGCGAAAGACGGGUGAGAAUCCCGUCCACCGAUUGACUAAGGUUUCCAGAGGAAGGCUCGUCCGCUCUGGGUUAGUCGGGUCCUAAGCUGAGGCCGACAGGCGUAGGCGAUGGAUAACAGGUUGAUAUUCCUGUACCACCUAGUAUCGUUUUAAUCGAUGGGGGACGCAGUAGGAUAGGCGAAGCGUGCUGUUGGAGUGCACGUCCAAGCAGUAAGGCUGAGUGUUAGGCAAAUCCGGCACUCAUAAGGCUGAGCUGUGAUGGGAGAGGAAAUUGUUUCCUCGAGUCGUUGAUUUCACACUGCCGAGAAAAGCCUCUAGAUAGAUAACAGGUGCCCGUACCGCAAACCGACACAGGUAGUCAAGAUGAGAAUUCUAAGGUGAGCGAGCGAACUCUCGUUAGGAACUCGGCAAAAUGACCCCGUAACUUCGGGAGAAGGGGUGCUCUUUAGGGUUCACGCCCAGAAGAGCCGCAGUGAAUAGGCCCAAGCGACUGUUUAUCAAAAACACAGGUCUCUGCUAAACCGUAAGGUGAUGUAUAGGGGCUGACGCCUGCCCGGUGCUGGAAGGUUAAGAGGAGUGGUUAGCUUCUGCGAAGCUACGAAUCGAAGCCCCAGUAAACGGCGGCCGUAACUAUAACGGUCCUAAGGUAGCGAAAUUCCUUGUCGGGUAAGUUCCGACCCGCACGAAAGGCGUAACGAUUUGGGCACUGUCUCAACGAGAGACUCGGUGAAAUCAUAGUACCUGUGAAGAUGCAGGUUACCCGCGACAGGACGGAAAGACCCCGUGGAGCUUUACUGUAGCCUGAUAUUGAAAUUCGGCACAGCUUGUACAGGAUAGGUAGGAGCCUUUGAAACGUGAGCGCUAGCUUACGUGGAGGCGUUGGUGGGAUACUACCCUAGCUGUGUUGGCUUUCUAACCCGCACCACUUAUCGUGGUGGGAGACAGUGUCAGGCGGGCAGUUUGACUGGGGCGGUCGCCUCCUAAAAGGUAACGGAGGCGCUCAAAGGUUCCCUCAGAAUGGUUGGAAAUCAUUCAUAGAGUGUAAAGGCAUAAGGGAGCUUGACUGCGAGACCUACAAGUCGAGCAGGGUCGAAAGACGGACUUAGCGAUCCGGUGGUUCCGCAUGGAAGGGCCAUCGCUCAACGGAUAAAAGCUACCCCGGGGAUAACAGGCUUAUCUCCCCAAGAGUUCACAUCGACGGGGAGGUUUGGCACCUCGAUGUCGGCUCAUCGCAUCCUGGGGCUGUAGUCGGUCCCAAGGGUUGGGCUGUUCGCCCAUUAAAGCGGUACGCGAGCUGGGUUCAGAACGUCGUGAGACAGUUCGGUCCCUAUCCGUCGUGGGCGUAGGAAAUUUGAGAGGAGCUGUCCUUAGUACGAGAGGACCGGGAUGGACAUACCUCUGGUGUACCAGUUGUCGUGCCAACGGCAUAGCUGGGUAGCUAUGUAUGGACGGGAUAAGUGCUGAAAGCAUCUAAGCAUGAAGCCCCCUCAAGAUGAGAUUUCCCAACUUCGGUUAUAAGAUCCUCGAAGAUGACGAGGUUAAUAGGUUCGAGGUGGAAGCGUGGUGACACGUGGAGCUGACGAAUACUAAUCGAUCGAAGACUUAAUCAA
This 2907-nucleotide ribosomal RNA is filed under the name Staphylococcus epidermidis. RNAcentral's name for it is "23S ribosomal RNA". It matches the Rfam family "Bacterial large subunit ribosomal RNA". The record is from RNAcentral. Lineage: Bacteria; Bacillati; Bacillota; Bacilli; Caryophanales; Staphylococcaceae.